This 427-nucleotide ribosomal RNA is filed under the name uncultured bacterium. Its description in RNAcentral is "partial 16S ribosomal RNA". It matches the Rfam family "Bacterial small subunit ribosomal RNA", at positions 355 to 774 of the family's 1533-position model. RNAcentral also lists the same sequence under 2 other names. The record is from RNAcentral.
UGGGGAAUAUUGGACAAUGGGCGAAAGCCUGAUCCAGCCAUGCCGCGUGUGUGAAGAAGGUCUUCGGAUUGUAAAGCACUUUAAGUUGGGAGGAAGGGUUGUAGAUUAAUACUCUGCAAUUUUGACGUUACCGACAGAAUAAGCACCGGCUAACUCUGUGCCAGCAGCCGCGGUAAUACAGAGGGUGCAAGCGUUAAUCGGAAUUACUGGGCGUAAAGCGCGCGUAGGUGGUUCGUUAAGUUGGAUGUGAAAUCCCCGGGCUCAACCUGGGAACUGCAUCCAAAACUGGCGAGCUAGAGUAUGGUAGAGGGUGGUGGAAUUUCCUGUGUAGCGGUGAAAUGCGUAGAUAUAGGAAGGAACACCAGUGGCGAAGGCGACCACCUGGACUGAUACUGACACUGAGGUGCGAAAGCGUGGGGAGCAAACA